GCCAUGAUCGUAUAGUGGUUAGUACUCUGCGUUGUGGCUGCAGGAACCUCGGUUCAAAUCCGAGUCAUGGCA
RNAcentral lists this transfer RNA (72 nucleotides) under Podarcis lilfordi (Lilford's wall lizard). It matches the Rfam family "tRNA". From Rfam's summary of the family: Transfer RNA (tRNA) molecules are approximately 80 nucleotides in length. Their secondary structure includes four short double-helical elements and three loops (D, anti-codon, and T loops). Lineage: Eukaryota; Metazoa; Chordata; Lepidosauria; Squamata; Lacertidae. The record is from Rfam by way of RNAcentral.